RNAcentral lists this transfer RNA (69 nucleotides) under Marmota monax (woodchuck). RNAcentral's name for it is "tRNA.Val". The record is from RNAcentral. Lineage: Eukaryota; Metazoa; Chordata; Mammalia; Rodentia; Sciuridae.
GGGAUUGUGGCUCAGUGGUAGAGUGCUUGCCUCACAUGUGAGGCACUGGGUUCAAUCCUCAGCAUCACA